CAGAGUUGCAAAACUCCCUAACCAUUGUGAACCUUACCUAACCGUUGCUUCGGCGGGCGGCCCGGGGUUCUAACCCAGGCCGGCCCUGGCCCCGAUCGCGGGCGCCCGGCAACCUGUCAGAAGCCCGAAACUCUUGAUAUUAUGGCCUCUCUGAGUAACUUCUGUACUGAAUAAGUCA
Molecule: unclassified non-coding RNA, 178 nt
Filed under: soil metagenome
Description: partial internal transcribed spacer 1
Source: RNAcentral